GGGGUGGGGGCGCUGGACGCAGACCACGUUAGAACCUCGGCUCCUGGAGUAGCAGAACCUCGGCUUCAAUGGGACCCUCAUUUCAUAAAUGAAGAAACUGAGAUUCAAAGAGGGGAACUACCGAAGGUUACAGAGCGAGUUCGUGGGUAAGCAUGAUGGGGAAACUGAGCCUCACAUGUAUGAAUUCCAGCAUAUAAGCAACAGACUCCAGAUUUGGACAUGUAUAUCUUAUUCCAGGCUUCCCAGAUGACCACCAAGGUGGAAGGGAUGAUGAUGUCCAGGCAGAAGGGAGCUAGGCCGGCCCAGGCUUUUCCUCUAGGCACAGCGGACUCCAGGUUCAGCCUUCCCGGAUGAGGUGCAGAGUGGUUGGUGACUUCUCCUGGGCCAUGAGGACAGUCAGUUAAAGUCCUGGCUACCUAUCCCUGAGCCCACAUAUCCUAUGGCUUCACGGAAGGUCCCACCUCCCAAGAAGGGGCUAGUGGCAGGGAAGUUGAGAAACAGAGAGACGGAAAGGUGGCAUAAAACCAAAGAGGGGGACACUGGAGAGGAGCCAGCAAGAGGCCAGGCUGGGGAUGUCAGAGAAGAGGAAAACAGAGAUGAAGCCACAGGCCUGGGGACAAGGGAAGAUGAGAGACAGGAGAUGGAACCCCUUCCCAGACCUGGUGAUGAGGAGGAGGCUCUGAGCAGUCCUAGCCAGGCCCCAGAGAAGCCAUUCCCUUCCUUUGACAGAUGCCACCUGUGUACGCCCCUGCCCGCGAAGAAGUUAACAAAUCACCACCACCACCCUGCCCUGGCCUGGUUGCUGUUGACGUUCAGUCUCCAGGAUGCAUCAUUUUCUUGGAUUUUAAUAGAUAAUUGCCUCGGCCAGACCCUGCAGAGCAAAUUGCCAGCAAAUGUUCAUUGAACACUUUAAAAAUCGAGGGGAAGAGGAGAGGGCUUGGAGGCAGCAUGUGGGGAGAGGUCAACCUCUAAAGUGCCAGCUCUCCAGAAAUGCAGCCGGAAUGAAGGUUUGAAGGGAUGGUAGUGAAUGGAGCACUCCAGGCAGUGUGUGUGCUGAAUCUCAGGGCGGUUUUAGGAGCACUUCAAAGGCCUUUUUGACCAAGAUAUUCACGUUGGCCUGAGGCUUUAUUUGAGGAGCCUGGCAGUCCUAUAAGGGGAAACCCACCUAUUACUUCAAGCAAAGCUGAUGCAGAGAGAUGAGCCAAUUGAGCAGGAGACAAUGUAAGCAGCUGUGGGGGUGUCGAGUACUCCCUCCUGCCUGUGGGAGCUGCACCGUGGAGUCUAGCUUGUCACCCUCCGGAGGCAGAGCCCCUCCUCCCUGCCUCCUCUUGGUCUAGAUGGACAGCCAUGGCAGCGGAGGCUGCAGAGCUGAGCAGGUGAUACUGGGCAGCGACCCUGCUGCGGGCAGCGUCCACACCCCACAGCUCUUUACUGCAUUUAUUUAACAAGCGACAUUGAGCCAGCAAUCUCUGCUGAAAAGUGCUCAGCCCUGG
RNAcentral lists this long non-coding RNA (1493 nucleotides) under Homo sapiens (human). Its description in RNAcentral is "non-protein coding lnc-INAVA-1:2". The record is from RNAcentral. Lineage: Eukaryota; Metazoa; Chordata; Mammalia; Primates; Hominidae.